AACAAGGUCUCCGUUGGUGAACCAGCGGAGGGAUCAUUACCGAGUUAUUCAACUCAUCAACCCUGUGAACAUACCUAAACGUUGCUUCGGCGGGAAUAGACGGCCCCGUGAAACGGGCCGCCCCCGCCAGAGGACCCUUAACUCUGUUUCUAUAAUGUUUCUUCUGAGUAAAACAAGCAAAUAAAUCAAAACUUUCAACAACGGAUCUCUUGGCUCUGGCAUCGAUGAAGAACGCAGCGAAAUGCGAUAAGUAAUGUGAAUUGCAGAAUUCAGUGAAUCAUCGAAUCUUUGAACGCACAUUGCGCCCGCCAGUAUUCUGGCGGGCAUGCCUGUUCGAGCGUCAUUACAACCCUCAGGCCCCCGGGCCUGGCGUUGGGGAUCGGCGGAGCCUCUCUGUGGGCACACGCCGUCCCCCAAAUACAGUGGCGGUCCCGCCGCAGCUUCCAUCGCGUAGUAGCUAACACCUCGCGACUGGAGAGCGGCGCGGCCACGCCGUAAAACACCCAACUCUUCUGAAGUUGACCUCGAAUCAGGUAGGAAUACCCGCUGAACUUAAGCAUAUCAAU
RNAcentral lists this ribosomal RNA (566 nucleotides) under fungal sp. 1895c4a. RNAcentral describes it as "eukaryotic LSU rRNA". The stretch from base 190 to 343 matches the Rfam family "5.8S ribosomal RNA". Lineage: Eukaryota; Fungi. The record is from RNAcentral.